UACGUAGGUGGCAAGCGUUGUCCGGAAUUAUUGGGCGUAAAGAGCUCGUAGGCGGUCUGUCGCGUCUGCUGUGAAAACUCAGGGCUUAACCCUGAGCUUGCAGUGGGUACGGGCAGACUAGAGUGCGGUAGGGGAGACUGGAAUUCCUGGUGUAGCGGUGAAAUGCGCAGAUAUCGGGAGGAACACCGGUGGCGAAGGCGGGUCUCUGGGCCGUAACUGACGCUGAGGAGCGAAAGCAUGGGGAGCGAACAGG
Molecule: ribosomal RNA, 253 nt
Filed under: uncultured bacterium
Lineage: Bacteria
Description: partial 16S ribosomal RNA
Rfam family: Bacterial small subunit ribosomal RNA
Source: RNAcentral